Dromaius novaehollandiae (emu) is the source of this 883-nucleotide long non-coding RNA. RefSeq lists it as uncharacterized. The transcript is spliced from 6 exons. The record is from RefSeq and is a predicted model, not a curated record. NCBI's taxonomy places the organism in Eukaryota, Metazoa, Chordata, Aves, Casuariiformes, Dromaiidae.
CACAGAUUCCCCCAGCUCAAAAAAAAAAAAAAGAAAAAAGAAAAGAAAAAAAAGUCAGUCCAUUUCGUUCGAUGAUAGAACAGUACUGUGUUUUGCGACUAACAGUAUAAUCUCACAGAGGGAGAACAUGCUAUUGAGAGUUCAGACCCGAGUCCUGAUGUUUCAAUACAUGCAAAGGACCAUACUGUUUUUCCGUGAUGCUGAGGCCUUCUGGAGUAGUCCACCAUCUGCAAGACUGCUAACAGAUCAACUGCUUUUGAAGCCCAGGAAAAAAAGAACUUGGACAAACAAGACUCCAACCAUUUUGAUCUACUACAAUCUGAAUUGUGUGAGUAGCUGCUCUUUUAUGCAACAUUUCAGCACUCUCAGAGUCAGAAAUGGAAGACUCAAAGCCAUGAGAAAUUGAAUUCUUAAUAACAUCAAGUUUAUGUGAAUUCCCAAAGAUCGUCAUUUCACAUGAGAUGGAGGAAGGUUCACAGGAUUGCUUAAAGCAUAGAGAAGAGAGUGAAGUUUGCUAUCCUGGCUGUUGCAGCAACGAUGACAGACCCUGUCAGAGAGAAAUUAUUUUGCAGUACUAAGCUUUGGCCUUUGCUGGGGUGACUCAAAUGUGACAGAGGUUUUGUUCCACCUGGAGCCCCAACGUUAAAGUAACAUAUUGUUCAAAGCAGUGGUGCUCUGUGACAAGUGUGUCUCUGGAGACAGUGAGGACAUGCGAGAUGCUGACAAAAUGGCGCUAAAGACUUCAUCUUCCUUCAGAGGCCAGUCCUUCCUGUCCAAAAUCAUCAAAUCACUACCUGGCUGCCUCUUCCAUUUGGAAUUCACAUGUAUUUAUAUGUGCGAUGAAAUACGUGCCAAAAGCUCCUGUCAAAUCAGCAUGAAGAUA